Non-coding RNA from Arachis ipaensis, 3099 nucleotides. Lineage: Eukaryota; Viridiplantae; Streptophyta; Magnoliopsida; Fabales; Fabaceae. The record is from RefSeq and is a predicted model, not a curated record.
UUUGAGGUCUAGAGAGGUUUUGACCUGAGGUUACAUGAAAUAAGGUAAGAAAAAUUGUUUCCUUUGUUUUUCCGAAAUUUGGGUUAAGAACCUAGUGUGAACAUUAUGAAAUUUGUAUGUGAUUAGAUUAUAUGGAUUAGCUUGGCUUGUUUGGUUAAAUUGGUGCAGUUGGAGUACAUGGUGUGGUUGCGAAACGAUUGGUGGAGGCUUGGAGGAGUCGGUUGAGGCUUGAGUCUGGUUGGAAAGAAAAUUUAAGUGUUAGAAAAAUUGCCGUCAAUAAGGUACGGGUUUUGGUUCUGGGUAGACAUUAUGUAAAGUAUGUGAAAACCUAGGUUAAAUGCUUUAGGAUAGGUUUGAAUAGAAUUGGUUGGUUGAUGAUUGAUUAAUUGUUGAGAAAUAUUGUGAAUUUUCAAAAUGAGUAUAAUUGAGUUUGAAUAUAAUUGUGAUUGAAUAGAUGUUGUAAUUGAUUGCCUAUUGAGAUUUUGAUAUGAAAAUUGGGUCGGAGACUGUGAUAGGGUGAAGUAUCCCCUAUUUGGUAAGUUACGGUAAGUGGUGUAAGUGCCAUGUUCUGAAUUGUGGUUGAAAUAAUAAGUUUGGAUAGAUAAUUGAUGAGUUGUGGUUAUUGUUAUGAAUGUAUAUUUUGAUGAUUUAUGCUAUAUGAGUUGAAAUUGGGUUGAUUAGGCUUGAUUGGUUAGCAAGUGAUUGAAUAUUGAUAAAUGAGUAUUGAUGGUAUUUAGAAGUGGUUUGUGAUGGGUUAGAAUGAGGUAAAUUGGAGUUUUUGUAAAAAUAACAUCAUGCAGAUUUUUGGUAAAAAUAGAUUUUUGACUAACUUCGACGGGCCAUAACUUGGCAUUCGGAGUUCGGAAUUUGAUGAAACUUAUCUUAAAUUAAAGAUAAUGAUGAGAGAUUUAAAUUGGUUUAAGAAUUAAGGAAAACAAAAUGUUGUAGAUGAAGUUAUGAACAAUUGAAAAUUGAUAUUUUAAACUGAAAUCUGAGAUGUUGCAGAAAAACAAGAAUUUUGGCCUGUGGACUGUAAAGACUUGUGUGUAAGUACGACGGUGUGCGUACGCACGCCAAGGGAGAUUUUCAAGUUGUACGUACGUAUGAGGGGUAAUGCGUAUGCACAGGUCCUAUUUUCAUAAAAAGUCUCUAUUUUUUACUGGUUAGCUUUUCUAACAAGCUUGUAAACCCUUGUAACCCUUGAAUAAGGUAUAAUAACUAGUUUUUAGGCUCUGAAUGAGUGUGAGCAUAUUGAAUGGAUUAAAUUGACAAAUUGAAUGAGAUUGUGGAUUGAAGGAUCGAAGUUAAUGAUAAUUGAUGAAAGCUUGUGGUUAAUGAACCUAUUGAAUAAAAAAUUUAUUAAAGACAUUAAUGAUAACUGAUUGAGAUUUGAAAUACUGAAAUGGCAACGACAGUGGUAAAUUUUGCUUCUGCAUUGAUUGAUAUUCAUUCCGAACAAGGACGGUGGUUAAUCCCGCUUGUUCGAGGUGCCCGAUAAAGACGGUUGGUUAAUCACGCUUACUCGUGGACUAAUGUAAUUGGCAAGGAUGGUGGUAAAUCUCGCUUGCAUAUUGAUCCGAGAACGUUCUGGGCAAGGACAAUUUGGUGAAUCCUGCUUGCUUUUAUGGAACCUACGAGUAAGGACAUUUGGUUAAUCCUGCUUACUCGAGUCAGGUUUGGCAACAUAACCGACGCGUGAGCUCAUGGCUAGUAGGACAAGCAUGCAUCAUAUGCAUCUUUAUGCAAUUGCUUGAGUGUGCAUCUUGUGUUUGGUUUUUCUAAGUGAAUAUCUCUGUUUAAUUGCUAAUUUCUAUAUAUGUUGUAAUUGCUCUUGAUUGUGUUUGCACCCUAUUACUUGUGUUUGCUACUGCUGAAUAAAUUGAUGAACCAUAUACUGAUUGGCUGUGAUGUUGAAAAGAGUAAAAUGCUGAGAUGUGUGGAGGAGAACUAAGAAUAUAGACCACUGAAUCUCGUUUGAUUGGAGUUUAGGAAUGCCUAGCGGGUUCGUGCAACUUUUACAUCGUCUCUUUUUGGAACUGUUACCUUAUUGGGAACCUUCGGGUUCUCACCCAUUGCGGAUUUUGUUGUUUUUCAAAUACAAGGCGUGAUGCACCUUGCUAAGCGUACUGGAUUCUCUUGGAUAGCGAAGACUCCUUUCCUAUUUUGUAUUUUGUGCUUAGUAAUGUUUAUUUCUCCACUUUUUUAUAUGCAUUUGUAUAUCCCUCUUAGAGGUUUCCUUUUGGAGAAACAGGGUUGUAUUUGGUUAUACUUUUGGAUUGUAAUACUUUCUAGCCGGCCUUUUCUUCGCAGGUCGAGACUAGUAUUUGCUAUGUAUCUCCUUUUGAAUCCUAUAUAUAUCGCUACGUGUGUGAUGACGAUUUAUUGCUUUUAUUUUAUCCUUCCUUCACAAGCUCCUAGUUAAAUUAUAUUUCUUCAAAUACUAUGUAUGAACUUUUCUGUUUAGGUGUCGUAAUACCUCACCACCUCUAAUUUAUGACUAUAGCGUAAGGCUUUGCGUGGUAGGGUAUUACAGGAGGCGAAUGAAGUUGAGUCGUUUAAUGACCACAUUGACAACUUGGUUGAUUUUCAAGAAGCCGAAGGUCAGAACCACGACAACUAACGCAAAGAUACAGAUAAUUGGAAUGUUACUAUCAUUGAGGACGACGUGACAAAAGGGACGAGUCGGAGCAUCAAGGGGGCUAUAGCACUUCCUCCAAAUAGAAAGAUCAUACUUCUGUUUAACAAAGAGUUGCAACCGGUUGAUCAGGUGGCUGGAUUAUUAAGUGAUUUUUUUGGGAGUUUGGGUGCUGAUUAUUUUCAGUUUUCCAUUUGUGAAAAGAGUUGGAAGACAGUGAACAAGACAACCAAGGAAUAUGCAUACAACAUGGUUAAGGUCUUUCAAUAUGAGGACGACGCCGAAGAAAAAAUAAAGUGAAAAAUUUUGCAAAGGAUAGGAAAGAACUGAAAGGAUACAAGACACAACUUGUAUCAUAAGUUUUACAAUGAAUAAAGACUCUUGAGAAAAAUGUUAAGCGUCACCUAUCAAGAAUAGAUGCAAAUCACUGGAAAUUAUUCUUUGAAUAUCGCUUGAAGGAAGAA